This is a non-coding RNA of Podarcis lilfordi (Lilford's wall lizard), 72 nucleotides long. NCBI's taxonomy places the organism in Eukaryota, Metazoa, Chordata, Lepidosauria, Squamata, Lacertidae. The record is from the annotation of a GenBank genome assembly.
AGGGCUGCAGCUCAGUGGUAGAGCAUCUGGCUUCCAUGUGGAAGGUGCCGGGUUCAAUCCCUGGCACCUCUA